CGGGGCGUGGCUCAGUUUGGCUAGAGCGCCUGCUUUGGGAGCAGGAGGUUACAGGUUCAAGUCCUGUCGCCCCGACCA
RNAcentral lists this transfer RNA (78 nucleotides) under Candidatus Omnitrophota bacterium. RNAcentral describes it as "Candidatus Omnitrophica bacterium tRNA-Pro". It matches the Rfam family "tRNA". From Rfam's summary of the family: Transfer RNA (tRNA) molecules are approximately 80 nucleotides in length. The record is from RNAcentral. Lineage: Bacteria; Pseudomonadati; Candidatus Omnitrophota.